GGCUGUCUGAUCAAAACGGAUCCGGAUAGCGGAUGCAAGGGUUAAAAGGGAAACAGGUGUGAUUCCUGUACGAUCUCGUCACUGUGAUAAAGGAGCAUGGCUUUGCAAUAUGCCACUGGCUAAGCUGGGAAGGUAAAAGGCAUGUGAUGAUCUUUCAGCCAGGAAACCUGCCAGUUGUUUGGUACAGGG
RNAcentral lists this non-coding RNA (189 nucleotides) under Bacillota bacterium. Lineage: Bacteria; Bacillati; Bacillota. The record is from RNAcentral.